This 164-nucleotide ribosomal RNA is filed under the name Pseudoroegneria tauri. RNAcentral's name for it is "Elymus tauri 5.8S ribosomal RNA". It matches the Rfam family "5.8S ribosomal RNA". Rfam says of the family: 5.8S ribosomal RNA (5.8S rRNA) is a component of the large subunit of the eukaryotic ribosome. It is transcribed by RNA polymerase I as part of the 45S precursor that also contains 18S and 28S rRNA. Lineage: Eukaryota; Viridiplantae; Streptophyta; Magnoliopsida; Poales; Poaceae. The record is from RNAcentral.
CACACGACUCUCGGCAACGGAUAUCUCGGCUCUCGCAUCGAUGAAGAACGUAGCGAAAUGCGAUACCUGGUGUGAAUUGCAGAAUCCCGCGAACCAUCGAGUCUUUGAACGCAAGUUGCGCCCGAGGCCACUCGGCCGAGGGCACGCCUGCCCGGGCGUCACGC